GCACUGGCCUGGGGUGUAGUUCUCUGCGUGAAGCCAUGAACACUAUGGGAGAGUUGCUAGAUACCCAAACUGAGCUUGGGGAGAAGUCUGCAACCUAUGACGUCAGAAAAGACGGGACACAGUCUGUGAGAAGUAACGGCAGAGAAAGAAGACGCAUCAGAGCACAUUUCGUGACCAGGCGCGGACAGAAGGAAGUUGGAGCCAUGUGUCAUGUCUUGUCUAAGAGGACUUUCCCGAAGUACAUUGAGACUCACGUGACGCAUGGGUAUGGACCUGGUCCUCAGGGACCUAGAGGGUGUUGGAGCCGGCAGCCUAAGCUGAGGACUUGA
This 329-nucleotide long non-coding RNA is filed under the name Fukomys damarensis (Damara mole-rat). Its description in RNAcentral is "lncRNA (ENSFDAG00000026693.1)". Lineage: Eukaryota; Metazoa; Chordata; Mammalia; Rodentia; Bathyergidae. The record is from RNAcentral.